Varroa destructor (honeybee mite) is the source of this 1985-nucleotide long non-coding RNA. RefSeq lists it as uncharacterized. Lineage: Eukaryota; Metazoa; Arthropoda; Arachnida; Mesostigmata; Varroidae. The record is from RefSeq and is a predicted model, not a curated record.
GUUAUUUCUUUGAAAUCAGUGUUAAAAGACCCACUGUAUAAAGUGGUCCAACAGCGACGAAAACUUCAGAAGCUAGAGGGUUCCGGAAUAUCUCUCCAGGGUGAUCAAACGAAAUAGAGGAUUAAAAGUAAUCCGACCUUGCAGGACCCCUAUCUGUCUAAUCGAAAUUUUACAGAUGACUAUGGAGUGCGCUAUUCCUAACAGGAAUGAUAUUGGCCGCCUAGAAAAAAUGAAGUUUUCGAGCAAAUUUAAAAUCUAGUUAAAGAGAUAAUUACACUUAUCGCUUCCAUGGUCGCAAAUCAGUUUAUGCGUAUACAGCGGUGAUAUGACACGUAUGAAAGAUUAACCGGUGAGGUCUACGGCAAAUGAUAAUACGUAUGGAUGUCACAUAUACACAGCACAUCUAACUCCGUAGCCAUCAGCAGACUCUGCCGAAACUGCACAUUGUACAAGUAAAUAUACACGUGAUUGCGACCGGUCACAUUUUUGGACGAUGCCAUCAAUAUAACUAGCAACGGAAUAAAAUUCAUUAACUUCUAGCAAGAGAAAAAGCACCAGAACCUUGUGCUCGAUAAAUAUGUUGGAGAAACGCUGAAGAUAUCUACGAAGAUAUUUUCUGGUAGCUUCUGAAGCGACACUGCAAAAUGGUCUUAGCGUCUGUCUAGGAAAGAAAACAAAAUUUACGGAAAGAAGUUACGGAAUAUAUACAGCAUUCUAGCGUACUGCGGCUUUGUCAUACACAAGUUAAGUAGUCGCAGCGUUACGUUAUGAUCAUGACAUAAUUUUUUGUAUAGAUUCGCUAGUAAUAAUUAAUAACAAUUGUUCAACAAACUAAUCAUUGUUUUGGUUCUAGGUAACAUACUUACCUGGAACUAUGCAAGGUUAUACCUGGCGUCUUCGCUGUUGGAUCUGAUUAAUCGUACAUGGAAAAUUUUUAUUCUGAAAACCGGAUAUGUCUAGAGUCAUCAGAAACAGAAUGUUUGAUACAUUUUCUGCUUUUUAUAAACGAAGUAGAAGGCACUAACUCAAACGUCUUUGUGAAGUGUAGGCGCAAUAUAAACACUGAGAAAAUACAUCCUGGGGAUAUGUUGGACCUCUAAGGUAAAAUAUGCUUGACCUUUUCCAUAGUAUUAAAAAGUAGUUGGUACUACGAACAGUAUCACGAUGAAUCAGGAAUUGAGCCAUUUUUAUGUGGCAAGUCAGAUGUAUGCUGAAAUGGGACGUCGUUGACUUGUGUAUUCAUUAACAGCAAAGCGAACCUAUAAAUACCAUCACAAAAUACACUUUUGACCAGGGCUAGCAAAAUCAACUCAAAUUGGAUGAGUGCAAGGUAUUUAUAAUGCCAAAUGUUAUUAUUUGCUAUUUAUAAGUACCAAAUGGUCGAAGGGGAUUACGAAAAAACGAGGAAUUUAAAAGGAAAAAAAGUCAAUUUGCCCCCCGCUUGGUAUUUCGAAAUGGAAUAAGUAUAAUCGAAAUCAUCUCUAGAGUGCUAUGAACACGACCUUUAACGAUACCAAUUUUGCUAAGAAACGUUAACCUUGGCAAAAAGCUACAUAUCAACACAGUGUUUUUGUUUACACUUCUCAUCGUAUCUGUAUUAAAGGCACACACGUGCGAUGAUACGGUAAAUUCCAACUAUGCACAUUCUGGUAUUUGUUGAAUAAGUGAUUAACAUUUAUUCGAAGUGUGAGCCGUGUAAAUAUCAACGUUGUUUCAGGUGGUAUUGCUACGUGCGCGAAUUUUCAAACGAGGUGUAAAACAUUAUCAACGGUAUAGUUUAUACUAGGCCUUUAAGGGCUAGUAGUUCGUCACCGCUCCAAACGUCUGGCUAUUAUCACAAAGGGCCUUGGUUGUCCUUCAUACGCGUUCAACAAGUAUAUUACUCCUUCGAUAUGCCUUACUGUAUCUUUCUUUGUAAGUUUGAGUAUCGAGUGCAAGAAGUCGUAAAUUUUUGUCUAACCGUAAAGGUUACUAUACGCAACAGA